AUGCUCUUUGUGGAUGAUGUGGUGUUAGUUGACGAUAGUCGGACGGGAGUAAAUAGGAAGUUAGAGUUAUGGAGACAAACCUUGGAAUCGAAAGGGUUUAGGCUUAGUAGAACUAAAACCGAGUACAUGAUGUGCGGUUUCAAUACUACUGGGUGUGAGGAGGAGGAGGUUAGCCUUGAUGAGCAGGUGGUACCUCAGAAGGACACCUUUCGAUAUUUGGGGUCAAUGCUGCAGGAGGAUGGGGGUAUUGAUGAAGAUGUGAACCAUCGAAUCAAAGCCGGAUGGAUGAAGUGGCGCCAAGCUUCUGGCAUUCUCUUUGACAAGAGAGUGCCACAAAAGCUAAAAGGCAAGUUCUACAUGACGGUUGUUCGACCCGCAAUGUUGUAUGGCGCUGAGUGUUGA
RNAcentral lists this ribosomal RNA (402 nucleotides) under Triticum aestivum (bread wheat). RNAcentral describes it as "partial small subunit ribosomal RNA". The record is from RNAcentral. Lineage: Eukaryota; Viridiplantae; Streptophyta; Magnoliopsida; Poales; Poaceae.